This 769-nucleotide long non-coding RNA is filed under the name Homo sapiens (human). RNAcentral describes it as "HSALNT0038458". Lineage: Eukaryota; Metazoa; Chordata; Mammalia; Primates; Hominidae. The record is from RNAcentral.
GCCGCCUUGCAGUUUGAUCUCAGACUGCUGUGCUAGCAAUCAGCGAGACUCCGUGGGCGUAGGACCCUCCGAGCCAGGUGCAGGACAUAAUCUCGUGAUGAGCCUUUUUUAAGCCUGUCGGAAAAGCGCAGUAUUCAGGUGGGAGUGACCCGAUUUUCCAGGUGCCGUCCGACACCCCUUUCUUUGACUAGGAAAGGGAACUCCCUUACCCCUUGGGCUUCCUGAGUGAGGCAAUGCCUCGCCCUGCUUCGGCUCGCGCACGGGGUGCGCACCCACUGACCUGCACCCGCUGUCUGGCACUCCCUGGUGAGAUGAACCCGGUACCUCAGAUGGAAAUGCUGAAAUCACCCGUCUUCUUCGUCGCUCACGCUGGGAGCUGCAGACAGGAGCUGUUCCUAUGUGGCCAUCUUGGCUCCUCCCUAUGAACUCUUUUUUACAGCAGGACACUGAAGCAAAGAUCAAGACCUGCAAGAACCAGAAUGUAGUUAAAGUGGAAGUGGAAUCAGAAGAGGAGAGAUCAAUUGUUGGCUAAAGAUAAAAGAUGCAGAUGUCUUUCCCUCCCUCUGUGCCCUGGCUCACUCAUUCUUGGAACGUGCACCUUGAGAUUUCUGAGCCAAUGUGUAAGAAGUCCAACCACCCUGACUUAAAUGCUGAGUCACCGGUGCCUGGAGAGACCCCAUGGAGAGAGCACAGUGAGACAGAAUCACUUGAGGAGGCUAAGCUCUUCCAGCCCAUGCUGUUGGAACCUCUCUAGCCCAGACACCAAACU